ACUCUGUCCCUUCUUGUAGAUGGCAGUUGUGUUGAAGGACCAGUCCAGCUUUUCAUCCAGGUGGACACCCAGGUACCUAUAACUAGACACCACCUCAAUGUCAGCACCAUCUAUGUUAACAGGCAGGGGGCGAGAUUUGGAUUUACUGGGGGUAUGCAAAGUUGGGUUAUAAUUUGGGAACAAUACUGUAAAAUGUGCUGUAUAAUGGUUAGUCAAAUCCAUAUCACCUUGGAUAAGGAAAUAGGAGUUGUUUCACGAUAUGCUGACAAUUUAUAGUGAUCUGUGAAACCAUCCAUCAUCAUCUACCAGGCUCAAUCCUCAUUCGAAGUGGGGGGCGGGGGCUGGAGUCUAUCCCAGCUGACUCAGGGUGAAGGCAGGAGACACCCUGGACAGGUCACUAGUCUAUCACAGGACUACACAUAGAGACAAACAGUCACACUCACAUUCACAUCUAUGGACAAUUCAGAAUUACCAACUAACCUGUGCAUGUUUCUAAACUGUGGGAGUAAGCCAGUGAACCCAGAGAAAACCUACACAUGCACAGAGAGAACAUGCAAACUCCAAUCAGAAAGAUCCCAGGUCCAGGCCAGGACACGAACCAGUAAUCUUCAAGCUGAAAGGCAAAAGUGCUAACCACCAAGGCACUGUGCAGCCCACUAGUUAAUCAGUUUAUCCAAAAAAUAUUUCCAAAUAAUCUUGGACAUGCUCUGCCAUUCAGGUAUAAUUGGCAGCACUGAAUGCACAAUAAAUAGCCUCCUUCUCAGCAGUUACUGAAGAAGAAGAUGGUUCCCCUACUUUUUUUUUUUUUUUGGUUCCCCUACUUAUGUGAGAGCCUCCCAAGACAACAGCUCCUCCUGCCUUGUCUGACCGACUCAUUCAGGCAAAAAAAGAAAAAACAUCCGCAACCCAAUAAACAUCAAGCCUGUGCUCGUCAGCAUCGCUUCAUGCUGUGACUCAACACUCGCAUCACAUCACCGACACAUUUCAUAACAUGUCACAGACGACAAAUGGGAUGGGAGUGAAGCAUAGAGCUGACCUGAUGAACCAGGCAGCAAACUACUGCACAAGAUACUCUGAGCACCUUACCUCAACUGUUCAGGCAGUUUUAGGCUAUAGCAACUGCUAAAGUGAUAACCGUUUGUUCUUCCAUUUGGCACAGAUGUUCCGAGGAUGUAAAUUUUCCACAUCUGAGUUUUGCGUCAUAUUAAAAUCUUUAGUGGGGCUUAAAGCGUUCUCCUUCUUGUUGUUUCCUAAGUAAAAGUCGAAGAAGUUUAAAUCUGGAGCAACUAACAAACGUACAGACAUAUUCACAGAGCUGUGCUGCGACUGUGGCUAAAAACAAAUCUAUCAAGUCACCACCAAGAAUGUAGGGCUGCUGUCAACAGCCAGCCCGGUCUCACGGGGAUUCGUGAAACAACAGCUGGGGAGAUAAAGACAGAGGUUCUUAAAGGCACAGUUUUACUGAAUUUAUAAAGUACACCGUCAUCCUAAAAGCUAUUCUACUAUAAUGGAUAAAAUGCCGGAAAAUGUACAAAAAUUAUGAGUGACACCAUGGCGGUGAAUUUAACAGUGACAGAUUUGCUUUCUUUUAUUACCUCCUGCAGCACAGACACACAUUGGUGGCUGACAGAAUCCACUGUAGUAACAUCUCCACCGACUAGAAUCACAGACAGACGCAAUCUAUGAAAGAGAGGGAGCCGGAUUGGAGAUGGAUUGGUAAGUGGUGAUGAAUGAGCUGCAGCUGCAUUGACAUUCACAAGGACAAGACACAAAGAAUGUUCAACUCCCACACAGGAGGAUGAGUGAAGUUCAUCGAGAUUUUCCUCUGAGAUUGACACAAAGAGAAAGAAAGUAAGAAGUCAGGUUCACUGAAAGCCCCAAGAGGAGGACGAGGAAGUGACUCAGUAAGCAGGAAUUUAAUUUACAAGGCAAACAACGUCUACAUGUUCAUAUUCAAACCUCUUCUUUUUUAGAUUCACAGACUGAGUGGUUUAGAAUCAAACUGCCAGUCUCUUACUUGCAUAACUACUAGAUUAUUUUGGAUGGGCAUGUUUUGUUAAAUUUCAUGUCAAGAACAGUAUAGCUUGCGGCAACCCUUAAAUUGGUGUGCAAGCUUGCAGGGAUGUGAGAGGUGAUGUGUAUGCCUUCCAAUGAAUAAUUAUGAUGUAAUGUAGGAUGGUAGCGCUGCCAUCCAUUUGUUGGUGACUGUGUGCUGGAUGAAUACAACAACUGGAACUGACAUUAAAAGUUUAGUAUUUGCUGGGUAUAUGUAGACAAAGGUCGUCUGUUGUGCGUCUUACCUUGCAAUGUUCAGAAUUGUUUCCAAAGGUUUUUUGUUUUUUUUUGGAGUUUGCAUGUUCUCCCUGUGCAUGCGUGGGUUUUCUCCUGGUACUCCGGCUUCCUCCCACAGUCCAAAAAUAUGCUGAGGUUAAUUGAUUAUUCUAAAUUGCCCGUAGGUGUGAAUGUGAGUGUAUUAUUAUAUCAUUUCCAAUGGUAGAAAUCUUUAGAAAAUUCUUGGAUCCAGAUUACAAGCCACAUCACUGCCAAAAUCUAAUCACUUGGUCUUUGUGUCAUUUCUGACCUUUCUUGAAAAUUUCAUCCAAAUCCAUUUGUUUUUGAGUAAUGUUGCUAACAGACAGACAAACAAACGGCCGUUGUCACAUUACUCCACAGAGGUUCCGCAUCCUUGGUGGAGUAACUAUGUAUUCUGUCAUCUAAUGUUUUGCUAAAAUCCAAAGAAAAGAAGCAACGAAAUCAAAAAUGUGACUCAGUGUUCCAUCCAUUUUCUGUACACUGCUUUAUCUACUGCAGGGUCACUGGAUUCUAUCCCAGCUGACAGGGCUGACACCCUAGACAGGUGACAGACAAAAGGAGAACAUGCAAACCUUUCACAGGAAGACUCCAGGCUGAGAUUCAGACCCGGGACCGUCAAGCUGUGAGUCCACAGUGCUAACCAAAUCACUACUGACUCACAGGUGAAGAAAUAAACUGCAAGUAUUAAAGACUUAGAAAAUUAUGAAUUCUAUUUCUGUUUCAAAUAACAAAACAUAUUGGCACGUACCAAGCCAUUUACAUCACAUUCUGUCAUAAGUAAAAGGUUGGGGGCCAUGAACAAUGAUUACACAGGGUUAAACUACCUCUCAGCACUAACUCAGGGUUCAAACUUCUUUGUAUUAGGCUGAAUGUGCAGCAGCAUGUCAAAGAUCAACAUCCAUGCCCUGUGGAUUCACAGCGGAGGGCUUCUCUUCCUUGAGCAUGUCCUGAACCAAAUCCAAAAUUAAAGCUGCAAGCAGCGAUGGACGGGUCCUCGCAUCCACGCUGGUCGGCGAAUCCAUGCACGUCCACCAGGUGGCACUGUGACUGAGAGUGUGUGCUGGCCUCUGAAUCACAUCUGGACCAGAGUUUAAUCACACGUAAAAUUUCAGCCAGAUUGGAGCAUGUUCAGACUAGUUAUACAGCAUUUCCUGCCCAUCCACCACCAGGUGGCGCUGUAACUCAGAGUGUAUUUCAAACAGUGGAUGUGAUGAGGGCUGGACUCUGAUCACUCAUGAAAAGUUUCAGGCUGAUUUGAUCAUGUAGAGGCCAGUUAUACAGCAUUUAUUGUCCCUCCAACAGGUGGCGCUGCAACUGAGAGUGUCUGUUGGCCUGUAGAUGUGAUCAGGAUUGGAUUGUGAUCACACAUGGAAAGUUUGAGGCAGAUUGGAGCAUGCAGAGGAGAGUUAUACAACAGUUGAUGUUUCAUGGCGAAGCAUCAAAACUCUGAUGGUCGCCAUGGCCACGCCAUUUGGCUUCUGGUUAAACUUUUGAUAACUUUUUAUCACCAAGUCCUGCUGUGUGGACUGACAAAAUUUCAGGUCUCCUGGAAUUAUCCCCUUGGAGGUAUUAACUCUCAAAAAUGAGAAAAAUCAUCAAAAAUCUCACAAUUAAUCCAAGAUGGCCGACUUCCUGUUGGGUUUAGGACAUGGCUCCAAGAGGCUUUUUUGUGCGUCCUGAUGUGCUCUAUAAGCCUCCCAAACUUCAUGGAUGUAGGUGAAAUGUGCUGGGGGGGCUGUUUGUUAAAAAUACUGUAGGGGGCGCUAUAGCAUGUGCAGUGCCGAGAUGCAUACUGUGUCGUUCCUUGGGUCGAUGGUGAUGUGUGUGGUAAUUUUAGUGAGCAUUGGAGUAUUUCUAACCUGUCAAAUAGCACUUUGUUUUGUAUGGCGAUAUUUGGUUGCUACGGCAACAGCGUUGCAUGAAAUGUCACACCCUUCACAGUGUGUGAUUGUCAAGAGGUGAAGACUCGACUGACCAAUUUCCAGCAUGAUAUCACCACGUUUGGGACCAUUGUACCUGAAAAUAUAAGGCCUUAAACUUACUAUUACCAACAGGUGGCGCUAUGACUUUUUCAAAAUUUAUGAGUGUGGAUGUGUUCAGACUGGACCUGGUAUCCAGCAUGUGAAGUCUGAGGCAGAUAGGAUGUUGUUCAGCUGAGAUAUGAAUCGUUAAAUUUUCAUGGCGAAACAUCGAAAUUGGUUUGGCCGCCACAGACACGCCCUUUGAUGACAAGUCACCAUUUUCAC
Molecule: long non-coding RNA, 4559 nt
Organism: Acanthochromis polyacanthus (spiny chromis)
Lineage: Eukaryota; Metazoa; Chordata; Actinopteri; Pomacentridae
Exons: 4
Source: RefSeq, a predicted model, not a curated record